UACGGAGGGUGCAAGCGUUACUCGGAAUCACUGGGCGUAAAGCGCGCGCAGGCGGUCUUUUAAGUUGGAUGUGAAAUCCUAUGGCUCAACCAUAGAACUGCAUCCAAAACUGAAAGACUAGAGUCUGGGAGGGGAAGAUGGAAUUAGUGGUGUAGGGGUAAAAUCCGUAGAGAUCACUAGGAAUACCAAAAGCGAAGGCGAUCUUCUGGAACAGUACUGACGCUGAGGCGCGAAAGCGUGGGGAGCAAACAGGAUUAGAUACCCUGGUAGUCCACGCCCUAAACUAUGAAUGUUAGUCGUCGGGGGGCUUGUCUUCUCGGUGAUGCAGCUAACGCAUUAAACAUUCCGCCUGGGGAGUACGGUCGCAAGAUUAAA
RNAcentral lists this ribosomal RNA (375 nucleotides) under uncultured bacterium. RNAcentral describes it as "bacterial SSU rRNA". It matches the Rfam family "Bacterial small subunit ribosomal RNA", at positions 524 to 898 of the family's 1533-position model. The record is from RNAcentral.